This is a long non-coding RNA of Cavia porcellus (domestic guinea pig), 520 nucleotides long. RefSeq lists it as uncharacterized. Lineage: Eukaryota; Metazoa; Chordata; Mammalia; Rodentia; Caviidae. The record is from RefSeq and is a predicted model, not a curated record. The transcript has 3 exons.
UUCAAUUCAGUAUAGCACAUGAAAAACUAGAUUUCCAAGUUUUGAAGGAAAUAAAAAGUGAAUCAUCAGAUCACUCACGCGUGGAAGAUGAAGAUGAUGAUGGCAUUAAUGUUGGCCAUGCAAGCCAAAGUUCCUAUAACAGUAAAAUGGAGCAAGAAUCAACUGAUACAGACACAAGGAAUGCAGACCUCCUUGAUUUAGACAACAAAGAAAACAGUAAUAAUUCAUGCUCCUCCCUUCCUUCAUUGACCUGGAAUGGUGUGGCUGGUGAAGAGUCUGAGAUCUGCUCUCCCUCCAUCUACUAGCAAGACUCAGAGCUCAGAAACCUACAGGAACACCAGUAACCCACUAGGAUCCUGCAAAGGCACACACAAUGGACAGGCAGAACUAGAGAAAUUUGUGAAACAUCUCUAAGCGUAUGUCUGGAUCUGAAAGAAAACAUCUUUCAUGGCUGGAACACAAGAAAAAGGCAGCAGAAACAAUCUGAAAUUUGUAUCUGAAAGCACAAAUACACCAUCAG